Molecule: ribosomal RNA, 495 nt
Filed under: uncultured bacterium
Lineage: Bacteria
Description: partial 16S ribosomal RNA
Rfam family: Bacterial small subunit ribosomal RNA
Source: RNAcentral
GACGAACGCUGGCGGCGUGCCUAAUACAUGCAAGUAGAACGCUGAAGGAGGAGAUUGCUUCUCUGGAUGAGUUGCGAACGGGUGAGUAACGCGUAGGUAACCUGCCUGGUAGCGGGGGAUAACUAUUGGAAACGAUAGCUAAUACCGCAUAAGAGUAGAUGUUGCAUGACAUUUGCUUAAAAGGUGCAAUUGCAUCACUACCAGAUGGACCUGCGUUGUAUUAGCUAGUUGGUGGGGUAACGGCUCACCAAGGCGACGAUACAUAGCCGACCUGAGAGGGUGAUCGGCCACACUGGGACUGAGACACGGCCCAGACUCCUACGGGAGGCAGCAGUAGGGAAUCUUCGGCAAUGGACGGAAGUCUGACCGAGCAACGCCGCGUGAGUGAAGAAGGUUUUCGGAUCGUAAAGCUCUGUUGUAAGAGAAGAACGAGUGUGAGAGUGGAAAGUUCACACUGUGACGGUAGCUUACCAGAAAGGGACGGCUAACUACGUG